RNAcentral lists this ribosomal RNA (497 nucleotides) under uncultured bacterium. Its description in RNAcentral is "partial 16S ribosomal RNA". It matches the Rfam family "Bacterial small subunit ribosomal RNA", at positions 28 to 507 of the family's 1533-position model. The record is from RNAcentral.
GAUGAACGCUGGCGGCGUGCCUAAUACAUGCAAGUCGAGCGAACAGACGAGGAGCUUGCUCCUUUGACGUUAGCGGCGGACGGGUGAGUAACACGUAGGUAACCUACCUAUAAGACUGGGAUAACUUCGGGAAACCGGAGCUAAUACCGGAUAAUAUUUCGAACCGCAGGGUUCGAUAGUGAAAGAGGGCUUUGCUAUCACUUAUAGAUGGACCUGCGCCGUAUUAGCUAGUUGGUAAGGUAACGGCUUACCAAGGCAACGAUACGUAGCCGACCUGAGAGGAUGAUCGGCCACACUGGAACUGAGACACGGUCCAGACUCCUACGGGAGGCAGCAGUAGGGAAUCUUCCGCAAUGGGCGAAAGCCUGACGGAGCCACGCCGCGUGAGUGAUGAAGGUCUUCGGAUCGUAAAACUCUGUUAUUAGGGAAGAACAAACGUGUAAGUAACUGUGCACGUCUUGACGGUACCUAAUCAGAAAGCCACGGCUAACUACGUG